RNAcentral lists this non-coding RNA (99 nucleotides) under Microbacterium sp. Its description in RNAcentral is "Glycine sequence". It matches the Rfam family "Glycine riboswitch aptamer". Rfam says of the family: This family represents the bacterial glycine riboswitch. Glycine riboswitches usually consist of two metabolite-binding aptamers domains with similar structures in tandem. The aptamers cooperatively bind glycine to regulate the expression of downstream genes. Lineage: Bacteria; Bacillati; Actinomycetota; Actinomycetes; Micrococcales; Microbacteriaceae. The record is from RNAcentral. RNAcentral also lists the same sequence under 1 other name.
UGACCCCUUGCGGGAGAGCCCCGGCACCGCUUCGCGCCGGGCACCGAAGGAGCAAGCCUCCCCGCCAAUCUCUCAGGUAUUGCGUACCGCGGGGGUCGG